Molecule: transfer RNA, 74 nt
Filed under: Podarcis lilfordi (Lilford's wall lizard)
Lineage: Eukaryota; Metazoa; Chordata; Lepidosauria; Squamata; Lacertidae
Rfam family: tRNA
About the family: Transfer RNA (tRNA) molecules are approximately 80 nucleotides in length. Their secondary structure includes four short double-helical elements and three loops (D, anti-codon, and T loops).
Source: Rfam by way of RNAcentral
GCCUGGAUAGCUUGGUUGGUUAAAGCAUGGUGCUAAUAAUGCCAAGGUUGCUGGUUCGAUCCCCUCUUGGGACA